UACGUAGGAUCCGAGCGUUAUCCGGAAUCACUGGGCGUAAAGAGUUGCGUAGGUGGCAUGUUAAGCGAGCAGUGAAAUCUUAUGGCUCAACCAUAAGGCUAUUGCUUGAACUGGCAAGCUAGAGUUUGGUAGAGGUAACUGGAAUUCCAAGUGUAGGAGUGAAAUCCGUAGAUAUUUGGAGGAACACCGAUGGCGUAGGCAGGUUACUGGACCAACACUGACACUAAGGCACGAAAGCGUGGGUAGCAAACGGG
Molecule: unclassified non-coding RNA, 254 nt
Filed under: uncultured Patescibacteria group bacterium
Lineage: Bacteria
Description: contains 16S-23S intergenic spacer region
Rfam family: Bacterial small subunit ribosomal RNA
Source: RNAcentral